GGGGGGGGGGGGGGGGGGGGGGGGCGGAGGGAGGGCGGGCGGGGAGGGGCGGCGGGUGUGGGGGGCUCGGGUGGGGAACGGGGGAGUAACACGUGAGUAACCUGGCCUUGACUUUGGGGUAACUUCAGGAACCUGGGGCUAAUAGCCGAUAGGAGCUCCGGCUGCAUGGUGGGGGGUGGAAAGUUUCGGCGGUUGGGGAUGGACUCGCGGCGUAUCAGCUUGUUGGUGGGGUAGUGGCUUACCAAGGCUUUGACGGGUAGCCGGCCUGAGAGGGUGACCGGCCACAUUGGGACUGAGAUACGGCCCAGACUCCUACGGGAGGCAGCAGUGGGGAAUAUUGCACAAUGGGCGGAAGCCUGAUGCAGCAACGCCGCGUGCGGGAUGACGGCCUUCGGGUUGUAAACCGCUUUCGCCUGUGACGAAGCGUGAGUGACGGUAAUGGGUAAAGAAGCACCGGCUAACUACGUG
This 468-nucleotide ribosomal RNA is filed under the name uncultured bacterium. RNAcentral describes it as "partial 16S ribosomal RNA". The stretch from base 49 to 468 matches the Rfam family "Bacterial small subunit ribosomal RNA", at positions 39 to 507 of the family's 1533-position model. The record is from RNAcentral.